AAGAGGCAGACUACAAUUUUCUUAGAAACUUUCAAUCUUAGAAAUAUUGUUAGGUGUCUUAAUGAUGAGUGAGUAAAAAUCACUUUUCCCACUAGGAAAAUGUAUCCUAUUAAUGUGUAUGUAUGUAAAAUAGAAAGAUCAGAUUAAAGAUUUUUCUUAUGUAAUAUUUUCAUGGAAUAAAGAGUUUGUUUCUAUAUCCUUUAUCCACCUCAAUUGUUAGCCAUAAGUGAAGGUUGAGAUCCUCAACCUUAUACGAUGAAAGAUACGAAGUUAGCCUCAGACUGAGCAUCAUUGUACGUUAAAUAAUAUUUUAUUGCAGAGAAGAAGUACUGUUGUACUGAUACAACUAGCAUAAGAAGAAGUUGAAAGGUAUAAACAUAAACUAUAUAUUUCGUGAAGCUAUUAGCAUAAGAAGAAAUCUAUCUUCAUAUUUGUUCUUUGUAUGUUCAUACAUACUAUAUAAUACUAAGUACCUAUAGGGAAUAACUAUCAUCAUGAAAUUUUCAAUACUUCAAUAAUGAAAGUUGUUCAACCACAACUAAAAAAGAUUAGAAAAAGAUUUUGGAAAUCUAAAAAGUCAAUAGAAACUCUUAACAAAAAUAUUUCAAAGAUGUAAUAUUAUAUUUGGAAAAAUUUGAUUGUGGAUGUCAUACUAAUUGACAUGAUAUAUGAAGCUCGCAUGCUACGAGAAACAAAAAAGUUUUUGUAUCAAAAUUAGACUUUUUUACUCAAAGAAUAUAUCCUUUAUAUAACUUAAUGAGCUAUUAUGCUAUCUUCUUUAAUGAAAAAGUUUGAUCACCAUCUUAAAGGUAAUCAAAUUGAAUAAGGAUUUGCAAGAAAAAAUUCUUGAAAAAAUCAUCAACAGUAUUGUUCAAGAACAAUGGUCUAUCCGUGAUUAUACCUAUAUAUAUAGCGAUGAUUACCUAUACUAUUUGUAUGAUGAAAAUUAUUUCUCUGAAUAAACAUCUAAUUUCCGCUUAUUUACUCUGUUUGUGAACAGCCCAAUAAAAGUUGGUAUAAAAAAGACAUCUCAGACUUAGCGAUGCCCUUAGAAACUGACUACCGAAUCAUCGAGACAGAUGGAAGUAUAGAAGGUUGGGGUCGUAUUAAAAAAAAUCCAAUAAAUAUAGCGACAAAAAUAAGAAAGUAUGUGUUCUUAUCAGAGUGUUAAGUAUAAAGAAAAAGGUAAUAUGAGUAGCAUAAAUGCGGAGACAUUAGCAGUAAUUUUAUGGUUUGAAUAGUUUUAAACUCGAUGUAUUAAAUAAACCUGAAAUAUUAGUACGAACAGACUGUGAGGAAACUAUUAAGUAAUAUACAUUUCAAACCACAAGUAAUGUUGGAUCACCAAAUACUUGAAAGGAUGGUUUUUGGCACUCAAAGCUUAAUAUGCUAUCAACCCUCAAAAUUAAGACCUAAAAUAAGUGUAGAUAAGCAACAAACAUUCCUUAUAGACAACUUGUGGAUAUCUUACAAUAAAAUACCCCGAGAUAACAAUUAUUUUAUCUUAGUAUUAAAUGAUUUAAGUUAUUAUUUUACAGAAAAGAAUUCAACUUACCAAUUUAAAUACUAUGUUGUUAUUAAAGAGAAGACGUAAGGAGUUUUUCAGACAUGGAUAGACGUAGUAAAGUCAAUAAAAAAAUCAUACGAACCCUCUUUUUAAAGGUUUCAAUGACCUUACUGAAGUAUUAGACUACGCUUGAGGGAAUAUGAGACCUAAUUAUUAUAUAAAUCUAGCUCUUAGAAAAGAAAUGAGAGAUAUCCCCCAGUAUAAUAUAAAGAAACACACAAACAAGAUCAUUUUCUGCGAUUAUUAUUGUAACUCACAGCAUUUGCGAGUUAGAAAUCAAACCUUCAUUCUUACGUGUGUAUACUCUAAUCCCAUGAUUUAUAUUUAAAUUCAUGAGUCAUGAUCUUUAUCCUAGUGUAUGAAGUGAUUAUGAGGUAAAAAAUGUUCAUAAAAGUCACUUAGAGAAAAGUUGAGCUAAGAGUCUUUAAUUCACCCAAAGUUUGAUAUUUGAUUCUACAAGGGUCAACUUUGAACAUUUAUAACUUUUUAUAUAUGUGGAAUUUUUCGGUUCAAUACUCACAAAAUUAUAGAUAAUUGAAUUAUCUGUCCAUCUAUACCAAUUUUGCCUUAAUCCAAUACCUGAGCUAAAUGUUAUGAUCAUUUUUGUAAGAACUAGUAAGCCACCGUAAUAAGACCGCAUCGCGGUGAGCACGCAAAACACAGUUACGAGUUUAAAAUUGCCUGAGGGGAAAUUAUACGUUUUCCCCUCAAUCCAAUUCAUAAAUCCACAACUUAAAUCAUCGGUUAGGGCACAAAUUUCCAUCUUCUCCCAUUUUUCUCUUAAGAAAACCUUAUCUCUUCCCUAAGAACAAGAAAUCAAGCCUUUUAAGUUUAAGAUUCUCAAGAAAGGUGUCAAGAUUAGGGUUUAAUCCUUCAAUCUAAGAAAUUUAAGGUACGUGGGACAAUCCAAAAUCUCAUAGUCAUGUAUUUACUAUUUUCAAACUAUUUUUAAAGAGUAUAUAUGUGCACAUAAGAAAUUGUUUUCAAGAUUAUUGAUAAGAUGAACCAAAAAUUCUAUACUUUGAAGAAGUUUUGUAAAAAUUAUGGCUUGGAACCAUAAACUCGAAAUGUUUUUUCGUUUGACCAUGUGAUAUUUAGAUUUUGAAGUUAAAUAAGAGCAUGGGAUAUGUAAUUCCCUCUUUUACUAUGAAAUCCAUUGAUUUUACAUGUUCUGAAUUGAUUAUAUGAAUUUCUAAAAACUCGAGUCUAUUGAUGAACUAUUAUGUAGAAAAUUGUACAGUCUUUAUGAGAUAAUGAAAGGGUCUUUUAAUUUUUUUUAUAAAUGAACAUGCUUCCCAUUAUGAAGGGUUUUAAAUUGAUAAGAAAAGGUGACCACAGUAGAUAACGUGUUGAAGAGAGAAUGGUUUGGUUUUAAACUAUUUUGAACCAUGAAUUUCUGUUUGAAUUAGUAGACCUUUUGCGUGGUCAAUAAUACCAUUUGAAAUAAGAAAAAGGGCAGUAGAGAUGUUGUGAUAUGACUUGAAAGUCUAGGUAUGACGAUACCCUGUUACGAUGUGCCCUAAACAAAAAUAAAAAAAAUAACUUUAAGAAGAAGAUGUAUUUUAAAUAGUCUAAAAUUGGCCUCAAGAGAGUUAGAUGGUGUAACACCCUGAAUUUCCCUGGCAUUAUCUAAGUCCCAUAAAUGAGUAUUCGUAUAUGAAAAUUUUGAAAUACUUAUUAUUUUUCAUUUAGAGCUGCCAUAACAUAGGAAAUUCAGUAUGCUUUCCAAUGAUAUAAAAUUAGCCUAAAUCUGAUAACUGGUUAAGAAGUUACGGUAAUUUUAAGUUUCAGUCAUAAAAUACUACCAUUUUAAAUCUUGGUACGUCGCAGAGCUAGAAUAAAUGACGAUUGUCAAUUUCCAGUAAAGCUCCGUGAAACCACCAGGUCACGCCGUUAGCCAAAAUCCCAAUUGUCCUUUUCCAGUGUCCUGUUGUGAUAAUGGCGUGUCACACCAAGGGUGAGUUUUAGAAUCAAAAGGGCAGCACGAUUCCUCCGCAUUGCUCCAUGCCUUCAGUUCCUAGUUAUCCCUUUUCCAGUGGCUUAGCACAAUAGUGGCACGUCGCACCAAGGCCAAAAAUUGGGAUGGUAAGUUUUCAGCUUCUUAUUCUAAAUUCGUUUAAGGGUAUUUCAGUAUUUUUCCAUGGCCCGAAUUGACCUAAAUCAUGAAAUUUAACCAUUAAACACUCUAUGUAGUCAUCAUUAUUCAAUUUCUCUUCAAAAUUAAAGAUCCCCUAUUCAAUAACAAGAAACCCUAUAUCUCAAAUUCAAGGCAAUUUCUCAAGAACUCUCCUUCAAUCCUUCCAAAUUCAUCAUCCCAAGUAUAUUAGAUGCUCAUCUAUAGAUCCCUUUCAUUCAUGGAGUCCAAGAAACCCUUUUAAAUUAUAAAGUUGUGAUAUUUUAAAGUUAUCAUAUUUUAAAUUAUGAUUUCAUCUAUGAAUCUCCAUGUACUAUUGAUUUUAUACCUUGUACCACGAAGUUCGUGUUAUUAUUCAAUCUUCCAUGUUUUAAUACUAUUAUUUACUGAAUUAAACCACGAUUUAAUACUAUUAUGAUGAAUUCAUGCUAUUAUGAUGAAUUCAUGUUAUUCCUACAAAUUCCAUGACAUUCAUAUGAUUGUUUUAAACCAUGAACUACAAGUGUUUGAUAAAAUGCCUACAAGAGUAAAUUAAUUAUUAAGAGCCUUCAUGUUUUGAUCUCCAAGAGUUAGUGUCAUUUUACUAUAAAUGUUUUGAGUCCUGGGGGUAUUGAAUACCUAAAAUCCAUUGUUGUUUAUUUAGUCUAGUCUCAUUACAUUACAGAACAGUCUUCAGGAUAUACUAUAAGCACUUCAAAGUAGUCAACUACUAGUCAGUUAUACUCAGAACAAUCUAGUAUCUCAGUGUCUUUCAGUUGGAAGUAGGAUUUAGCACCGAACGAGUGUAGGGAUGCUAGCUUCCCUAUCAGAUAGGCAAAAUUAUUAGUAGCAGUCCCUAUACUCCAGAACUACCUAGCCAGCAUAUAUGAGUAGUCACCCGUUAGAUUAGUCUUGACUAACUCGUAGGGGUCAUUCAUCAAUUCAGGCUUGACAACCUUAGUCCUUUGGAAAUUAUAUUAGUUUAGUAGAUCCACACAGCCAUUGUUAGUACUCGUGGCAUGGUAUUCACACCUUUCCAGCUGGGGUUACAGGUUGGACCCUAAUUAGCUCAAAUUAGGGAAUGCCAGUUAGAUGAUACCUCUUACAGUCUUAGAUAUAAUCUCAGUUACAGUUUCAGUUCACUUAUUCAGUCUUAGUUUUGUUUGACUAAAGCAUACAGAUUUCAAUCAUUUCAUUACUUUGGUUUACAGAUUUUACUCAGUUCAUGUUAUAUGCUUGGUUAUGCAUUCUCAGUGUCUACUAAUUUUCACGUAUUUUUAGUAUUUACAGAUUCGCAUGCAUAUACAGUAUUUAAAUGCUUCAUGUAUCUCCAGUGCCUAUAGAUUUUAUGUUCUCUAUUACGUAUCUCAUGCUUUACAUAUAUAUUCAUAUAGUUUAUUAUUCCUAUUCAUGAAACCAUGUAUACCUGCCUAGCUCAUUUAGCAUACCAGUACAUUCAAUAUACUGAUCGCAUACCCUUUUAUUUUUUGCUAUAAUAUCUUAUAUCAUAGGUUCUGACGCUCAGUUUUUGGCUCAUAAGUAGACUUAUCAGAACCACAGCAGUAGUAGUGGUGAGUCCUUAUACUUCAAGGACAGGCUUACUUUAUUUCAUGUCUUAGUUAGUAGUUAGUUGGAGUUAUUUGGGGCCUAUUCCAUCAACUCAUAUUCAU
This 5350-nucleotide long non-coding RNA is filed under the name Capsicum annuum. RNAcentral describes it as "long non-coding RNA (CANN_LNC008679)". Lineage: Eukaryota; Viridiplantae; Streptophyta; Magnoliopsida; Solanales; Solanaceae. The record is from RNAcentral.